Molecule: ribosomal RNA, 2816 nt
Filed under: Klebsiella pneumoniae
Lineage: Bacteria; Pseudomonadati; Pseudomonadota; Gammaproteobacteria; Enterobacterales; Enterobacteriaceae
Description: partial 23S ribosomal RNA
Rfam family: Bacterial large subunit ribosomal RNA
Source: RNAcentral
GGUUAAGCGACUAAGCGUACACGGUGGAUGCCCUGGCAGUCAGAGGCGAUGAAGGACGUGCUAAUCUGCGAAAAGCGUCGGUAAGGUGAUAUGAACCGUUAUAACCGGCGAUGUCCGAAUGGGGAAACCCAGUGUGAUUCGUCACACUAUCGUUAACUGAAUACAUAGGUUAACGAGGCGAACCGGGGGAACUGAAACAUCUAAGUACCCCGAGGAAAAGAAAUCAACCGAGAUUCCCCCAGUAGCGGCGAGCGAACGGGGAGCAGCCCAGAGUCUGAAUCAGCUUGUGUGUUAGUGGAACGGUCUGGAAAGUCCGACGGUACAGGGUGAUAGUCCCGUACACCAAAAUGCACAGGCUGUGAACUCGAAGAGUAGGGCGGGACACGUGGUAUCCUGUCUGAAUAUGGGGGGACCAUCCUCCAAGGCUAAAUACUCCUGACUGACCGAUAGUGAACCAGUACCGUGAGGGAAAGGCGAAAAGAACCCCGGCGAGGGGAGUGAAAAAGAACCUGAAACCGUGUACGUACAAGCAGUGGGAGCACCUUCGGGUGUGACUGCGUACCUUUUGUAUAAUGGGUCAGCGACUUAUAUUCUGUAGCAAGGUUAACCGUAUAGGGGAGCCGCAGGGAAACCGAGUCUUAACUGGGCGUUAAGUUGCAGGGUAUAGACCCGAAACCCGGUGAUCUAGCCAUGGGCAGGUUGAAGGUUGGGUAACACUAACUGGAGGACCGAACCGACUAAUGUUGAAAAAUUAGCGGAUGACUUGUGGCUGGGGGUGAAAGGCCAAUCAAACCGGGAGAUAGCUGGUUCUCCCCGAAAGCUAUUUAGGUAGCGCCUCGUGAAUUCAUCUUCGGGGGUAGAGCACUGUUUCGGCUAGGGGGUCAUCCCGACUUACCAACCCGAUGCAAACUACGAAUACCGAAGAAUGUUAUCACGGGAGACACACGGCGGGUGCUAACGUCCGUCGUGAAGAGGGAAACAACCCAGACCGCCAGCUAAGGUCCCAAAGUCAUGGUUAAGUGGGAAACGAUGUGGGAAGGCACAGACAGCCAGGAUGUUGGCUUAGAAGCAGCCAUCAUUUAAAGAAAGCGUAAUAGCUCACUGGUCGAGUCGGCCUGCGCGGAAGAUGUAACGGGGCUAAACCAUGCACCGAAGCUGCGGCAGCGACACUAUGUGUUGUUGGGUAGGGGAGCGUUCUGUAAGCCUGCGAAGGUGUGCUGUGAGGCAUGCUGGAGGUAUCAGAAGUGCGAAUGCUGACAUAAGUAACGAUAAAGCGGGUGAAAAGCCCGCUCGCCGGAAGACCAAGGGUUCCUGUCCAACGUUAAUCGGGGCAGGGUGAGUCGACCCCUAAGGCGAGGCCGAAAGGCGUAGUCGAUGGGAAACAGGUUAAUAUUCCUGUACUUGGUGUUACUGCGAAGGGGGGACGGAGAAGGCUAUGUUAGCCGGGCGACGGUUGUCCCGGUUUAAGCAUGUAGGCUGGUUGUCCAGGCAAAUCCGGAUAAUCAAGGCUGAGGUGUGAUGACGAGGCACUACGGUGCUGAAGUAACAAAUGCCCUGCUUCCAGGAAAAGCCUCUAAGCAUCAGGUAACAUCAAAUCGUACCCCAAACCGACACAGGUGGUCAGGUAGAGAAUACCAAGGCGCUUGAGAGAACUCGGGUGAAGGAACUAGGCAAAAUGGUGCCGUAACUUCGGGAGAAGGCACGCUGGUGUGUAGGUGAAGCCCCUGCGGGUGGAGCUGAGACCAGUCGAAGAUACCAGCUGGCUGCAACUGUUUAUUAAAAACACAGCACUGUGCAAACACGAAAGUGGACGUAUACGGUGUGACGCCUGCCCGGUGCCGGAAGGUUAAUUGAUGGGGUUAUCCGUAAGGAGAAGCUCUUGAUCGAAGCCCCGGUAAACGGCGGCCGUAACUAUAACGGUCCUAAGGUAGCGAAAUUCCUUGUCGGGUAAGUUCCGACCUGCACGAAUGGCGUAAUGAUGGCCAGGCUGUCUCCACCCGAGACUCAGUGAAAUUGAACUCGCUGUGAAGAUGCAGUGUACCCGCGGCAAGACGGAAAGACCCCGUGAACCUUUACUAUAGCUUGACACUGAACAUUGAGCCUUGAUGUGUAGGAUAGGUGGGAGGCUUUGAAGCGUGGACGCCAGUCUGCGUGGAGCCAACCUUGAAAUACCACCCUUUAAUGUUUGAUGUUCUAACGUUGGCCCCUUACCGGGGUUGCGGACAGUGUCUGGUGGGUAGUUUGACUGGGGCGGUCUCCUCCCAAAGCGUAACGGAGGAGCACGAAGGUUAGCUAAUCCUGGUCGGACAUCAGGAGGUUAGUGCAAUGGCAUAAGCUAGCUUGACUGCGAGCGUGACGGCGCGAGCAGGUGCGAAAGCAGGUCAUAGUGAUCCGGUGGUUCUGAAUGGAAGGGCCAUCGCUCAACGGAUAAAAGGUACUCCGGGGAUAACAGGCUGAUACCGCCCAAGAGUUCAUAUCGACGGCGGUGUUUGGCACCUCGAUGUCGGCUCAUCACAUCCUGGGGCUGAAGUAGGUCCCAAGGGUAUGGCUGUUCGCCAUUUAAAGUGGUACGCGAGCUGGGUUUAGAACGUCGUGAGACAGUUCGGUCCCUAUCUGCCGUGGGCGCUGGAGAAUUGAGGGGGGCUGCUCCUAGUACGAGAGGACCGGAGUGGACGCAUCACUGGUGUUCGGGUUGUCAUGCCAAUGGCACUGCCCGGUAGCUAAAUGCGGAAGAGAUAAGUGCUGAAAGCAUCUAAGCACGAAACUUGCCCCGAGAUGAGUUCUCCCUGAGACUUUAAGUCUCCUGAAGGAACGUU